UAUGUGAUCGUCUCUCGCAUAUCAAUAAGCGGAGGAAAAGAAACUAACAAGGAUUCCCCUAGUAACGGCGAGUGAAGCGGGAAGAGCUCAAAUUUGAAAUCUUAAAGGGUUUCCCUUUACGAAUUGUAGUUUAAAGAAGUGUUUUCUGUUGAGGUUUUGGUAAAAGUUCUUUGGAAUAGGACAUCAUAGAGGGUGAGAAUCCCGUAUUUGACCUUUACUUUCAACUUUGUGAUACACUUUCAAAGAGUCGGAUUGUUUGGGAAUGCAGUCCAAAAUGGGUGGUAAAUUUCAUCUAAAGCUAAAUAUUGGCGAGAGACCGAUAGCGAACAAGUACCGUGAGGGAAAGAUGAAAAGAACUUUGAAAAGAGAGUUAAACAGUACGUGAAAUUGUCAAAAGGGAAGCGUUUGACACCAGUGUUGUUUUUCUGAAAAUCAAUUAAAGAACUGUUUAUGCUAAGCUUGUUUAGACUUUAUCAGCUAUCUGCUUAGUUUUGAGCUUUUCUUUAAUGCACUUUUCAGUUAACAAGUCAACAUCAAUUUCUUCUGCUGUAAAAAAGCUUGAGGAAGGUGGCUUGAGAUUCGUCUUAAGUGUUUAUAGCCUCUUGCCUAUGCAGUCGGAGAGAUUGAGGUCUGCAGCGUAGAUCCUUCGGGGCUAAAUGCAUUUGUGCUAAGUUAUAGCAUUUUAUAGACAACUUGUUGACUAUGAUUUGUCUUGUAGCUUACUCGCUUAUGUUAUUUUACCUACGCUUAGGAUGUUGAUCUACAGAGCGAGAGU
Molecule: ribosomal RNA, 775 nt
Filed under: uncultured Neocallimastigales
Lineage: Eukaryota; Fungi; Neocallimastigomycota; Neocallimastigomycetes; Neocallimastigales
Description: partial large subunit ribosomal RNA
Rfam family: Eukaryotic large subunit ribosomal RNA
Source: RNAcentral